AGUUCCGCAGUAAAUGAUUACGUUGGAUUGCAAAUCCAAAACCGGAGGUUAUCUCCUCCCGGGGCUU
This 67-nucleotide transfer RNA is filed under the name Megachasma pelagios. Its description in RNAcentral is "tRNA-Cys". It matches the Rfam family "tRNA". From Rfam's summary of the family: Transfer RNA (tRNA) molecules are approximately 80 nucleotides in length. Their secondary structure includes four short double-helical elements and three loops (D, anti-codon, and T loops). Further hydrogen bonds mediate the characteristic L-shaped molecular structure. tRNAs have two regions of fundamental functional importance: the anti-codon, which is responsible for specific mRNA codon recognition, and the 3' end, to which the tRNAs corresponding amino acid is attached (by aminoacyl-tRNA synthetases). tRNAs cope with the degeneracy of the genetic code in two manners: having more than one tRNA (with a specific anti-codon) for a particular amino acid; and 'wobble' base-pairing, i.e. permitting non-standard base-pairing at the 3rd anti-codon position. Lineage: Eukaryota; Metazoa; Chordata; Chondrichthyes; Lamniformes; Megachasmidae. The record is from RNAcentral.